UUGUAGCCGAGGCUCUAUAUUUAUAGCUAAAACUAUAGGACAAACUGGCAUAAUAAUUUCUAGAAAUUUAACGUUAUCUCUAGAAAUUUUAAAAUAAAAUUUAGAAAUACUUCCAUAUUUUCAUAUAUUUCUUUUAUUUCAUAAUCUUUUUUUUUUCCUUUUUACAUUAAAAGAAAAACUUAAUAUAGAAAAUAUUGUGACUUUGAAAAUGUCAAAUAGUGAAAAUGGCCAACCGCG
RNAcentral lists this long non-coding RNA (237 nucleotides) under Capsella rubella. Its description in RNAcentral is "long non-coding RNA (CRUB_LNC002109)". The record is from RNAcentral. Lineage: Eukaryota; Viridiplantae; Streptophyta; Magnoliopsida; Brassicales; Brassicaceae.